GACGAACGCUGGCGGCGUGCUUAACACAUGCAAGUCGAACGGAAAGGCCCUGCUUUUGUGGUUUGCUCGAAUUUCGAUUGGGUUUGUAACACGUGAGUAACCUACCCUUUACUUUGGGUUACCUUCACGAAACUGUGGCUAAUACCGGAUAGGAUCUCCUGCUUCUUGCUUUGUGUUGGAACGUUUCGGUGGAUGGGGAUGUACUCGCGUCUUAUCAGCUUGUUGGUGGGGUAGUGGAUUACCAAGGCUUUGACGGGUAGCUGGACUGAGAGGGUGACCGGACAGAUUGGGACGGAGAUAAGGCCCAGACUAGAACGGGAGGGAGCAGUGGAGAGGAGUACAAAAUAGGAGGAAGCGAGAUGCAGCAAAGCGGCGUGCGGGAUGACAGGAUUCAGGUUGUAAACCAAUUUCGCCUGUGAAGAAGAGAGAGUGACGGUAAUGUAUAAGGAAGCACCGGCUAAAUACGUG
RNAcentral lists this ribosomal RNA (468 nucleotides) under uncultured bacterium. RNAcentral's name for it is "partial 16S ribosomal RNA". It matches the Rfam family "Bacterial small subunit ribosomal RNA", at positions 28 to 507 of the family's 1533-position model. The record is from RNAcentral.